AGUGAACGCUGGCGGUAGGCCUAACACAUGCAAGUCGAACGGCAGCACAGUAAGAGCUUGCUCUUACGGGUGGCGAGUGGCGGACGGGUGAGGAAUACAUCGGAAUCUACUUUUUCGUGGGGGAUAACGUAGGGAAACUUACGCUAAUACCGCAUACGACCUACGGGUGAAAGCAGGGGAUCUUCGGACCUUGCGCGAUUGAAUGAGCCGAUGUCGGAUUAGCUAGUUGGCGGGGUAAAGGCCCACCAAGGCGACGACCCGUAGCUGGUCUGUGAGGAUGAUCAGCCACACUGGAACUGAGACACGGUCCAGACUCCUACGAGAGGCAGCAGUGGGGAAUAUUGGACAAUGGGCGCAAGCCUGAUCCAGCCAUACCGCGUGGGUGAAGAAGGCCUUCGGGUUGUAAAGCCCUUUUGUUGGGAAAGAAAAGCAGCAGGUUAAUACCCCGCUGUUCUGACGGUACCCAAAGAAUAAGCACCGGCUAACUUCGUG
RNAcentral lists this ribosomal RNA (492 nucleotides) under uncultured bacterium. Its description in RNAcentral is "partial 16S ribosomal RNA". It matches the Rfam family "Bacterial small subunit ribosomal RNA", at positions 29 to 507 of the family's 1533-position model. The record is from RNAcentral.